RNAcentral lists this ribosomal RNA (250 nucleotides) under uncultured bacterium. Its description in RNAcentral is "partial 16S ribosomal RNA". It matches the Rfam family "Bacterial small subunit ribosomal RNA", at positions 779 to 1030 of the family's 1533-position model. The record is from RNAcentral.
UAGAUACCCUGGUAGUCCACGCAGUAAACGAUGAUUACUAGGAGUUUGCGAUAUACCGUCAAGCUUCCACAGCGAAAGCGUUAAGUAAUCCACCUGGGGAGUACGCCGGCAACGGUGAAACUCAAAGGAAUUGACGGGGGCCCGCACAAGCGGAGGAACAUGUGGUUUAAUUCGAUGAUACGCGAGGAACCUUACCCGGGAUUGAAAUGUAGAUGACGGAUGGUGAAAACCGUCUUCCCUUCGGGGCGUC